UCCGUAGGUGAACCUGCGGAAGGAUCAUUAAAAAAAGAGAAACGUCCCGUUCUUUUUCAUAAGAAUGGGUUCUAUUCCCUUAAACCGUGUCUACAUACCUUUGUUGCUUUGGCAGGCCGCCUUCGGGCGUCGGCUCCGGCUGAUAGUGCCUGCCAGAGGACCCAAACUCUAUGUUUAGCGAUGUCUGAGUACUAUAUAAUAUUUAAAACUUUCAACAACGGAUCUCUUGGUUCUGGCAUCGAUGAAGAACGCAGCGAAAUGCGAUAAGUAAUGUGAAUUGCAGAAUUCAGUGAAUCAUCGAAUCUUUGAACGCACAUUGCGCCCCUUGGUAUUCCGAGGGGCAUGCCUGUUCGAGCGUCAUUAUAACCACUCAAGCCUGGCUUGGUAUUGGGGUUUUCGCGUGUUCGCGGCCCUUAAAAUCAGUGGCGGUGCCGUCUGGCUCUAAGCGUAGUAAUUUCUCUCGCUAUAGGGUUCCGGUGGUUACUUGCCAAAACCCCCCAUUUUUUCUAGGUUGACCUCGGAUCAGGUAGGGAUACCCGCUGAACUUAAGCAUAUC
Molecule: ribosomal RNA, 556 nt
Filed under: uncultured Meliniomyces
Lineage: Eukaryota; Fungi; Ascomycota; Leotiomycetes; Helotiales; Helotiaceae
Description: eukaryotic LSU rRNA
Rfam family: 5.8S ribosomal RNA (bases 207-360)
Source: RNAcentral